RNAcentral lists this ribosomal RNA (425 nucleotides) under uncultured bacterium. Its description in RNAcentral is "bacterial SSU rRNA". It matches the Rfam family "Bacterial small subunit ribosomal RNA", at positions 355 to 796 of the family's 1533-position model. The record is from RNAcentral.
UGGGGAAUAUUGCACAAUGGGGGAAACCCUGAUGCAGCGACGCCGCGUGCGGGAUGAAGGCCUUCGGGUUGUAAACCGCUUUCAGCAGGGGCGAAUUCAGACGGUACCUGCAGAAGAAGCGCCGGCUAACUACGUGCCAGCAGCCGCGGUAAUACGUAGGGCGCAAGCGUUGUCCGGAAUUAUUGGGCGUAAAGAGCUCGUAGGCGGCCUGUUGCGUCCGCUGUGAAAUCCCAGGGCUUAACCCUGGGCCUGCAGUGGAUACGGGCAGGCUAGAGGCAGGCAGGGGAGAACGGAAUUCCCGGUGUAGCGGUGAAAUGCGCAGAUAUCGGGAGGAACACCGGUGGCGAAGGCGGUUCUCUGGGCCUGUUCUGACGCUGAGGAGCGAAAGCGUGGGUAGCAAACAGGAUUAGAUACCCCCGUAGUCC